Molecule: ribosomal RNA, 502 nt
Filed under: uncultured bacterium
Lineage: Bacteria
Description: partial 16S ribosomal RNA
Rfam family: Bacterial small subunit ribosomal RNA
Source: RNAcentral
AUUGAACGCUGGCGGCAGGCUUAACACAUGCAAGUCGAACGGCAGCACGGGUGCUUGCACCUGGUGGCGAGUGGCGAACGGGUGAGUAAUGCACCGGAACGUACCCAGUAAUGGGGGAUAACUAUCCGAAAGGAUAGCUAAUACCGCAUACGCCCUGAGGGGGAAAGCGGGGGAUCGAAAGACCUCGCGUUAUUGGAGCGGCCGAUGCCUGAUUAGCUAGUUGGUGGGGUAAAGGCCCACCAAGGCGACGAUCCGUAGCUGGUCUGAGAGGACGACCAGCCACACUGGAACUGAGACACGGUCCGGACUCCUACGGGAGGCAGCAGUGGGGAAUUUUGGACAAUGGGCGAAAGCCUGAUCCAGCCAUUCCGCGUGAGUGAAGAAGGCCUUCGGGUUGUAAAGCUCUUUCGCAAGGAAAGAAAACUUACUUACUAAUACUAGGUGAGGUUGACGGUACCUUGAUAAGAAGCACCGGCUAACUACGUGCCAGCCGCCGCGGUAA